Molecule: signal recognition particle RNA, 299 nt
Filed under: Aotus nancymaae (Ma's night monkey)
Lineage: Eukaryota; Metazoa; Chordata; Mammalia; Primates; Aotidae
Description: Metazoan signal recognition particle RNA (ENSANAG00000001850.1)
Rfam family: Metazoan signal recognition particle RNA
About the family: The signal recognition particle (SRP) is a universally conserved ribonucleoprotein.
Source: RNAcentral
GCUGGGCAUGGUGACGCGUGCCCAUAGUCCCAGCUACUCUGGAGGCUGAGAUGGGAGGAUCUCUUGAGCCCAGGAGUUCUGGGCUGUGGUGCGCUAUGCCGAUCGGCUGUGCACACUAAGUUUGGCAUCAGUAUGGUCAUCUCCUGGAAGCGGGGGGCCACCAGGUUACCUAAGGAGGGGUGAACCAUUCCAGCUCGGAAAAAGAGCAGGUCAAAACUCCCAUGCUGAUCAGUCGUGGGAUCGCGCCUGUGAAUAGCCACUGCACUCCAGCCUGGGCAACAUAGUGAGUCCCAGUCUCU